This 244-nucleotide ribosomal RNA is filed under the name uncultured Staphylococcus sp. Its description in RNAcentral is "partial 16S ribosomal RNA". It matches the Rfam family "Bacterial small subunit ribosomal RNA", at positions 96 to 334 of the family's 1533-position model. Lineage: Bacteria; Bacillati; Bacillota; Bacilli; Caryophanales; Staphylococcaceae. The record is from RNAcentral.
CGGCGGACGGGUGAGUAACACGUGGAUAACCUACCUAUAAGACUGGGAUAACUUCGGGAAACCGGAGCUAAUACCGGAUAAUAUUUUGAACCGCAUGGUUCAAAAGUGAAAGACGGUCUUGCUGUCACUUAUAGAUGGAUCCGCGCUGCAUUAGCUAGUUGGUAAGGUAACGGCUUACCAAGGCAACGAUGCAUAGCCGACCUGAGAGGGUGAUCGGCCACACUGGAACUGGGACACGGUCCAG